AGGCACUUAGUUUAAGAAAAAUAUUUGAUUUCGGCUCAAAAACUUGUGGUUUGAGUCCACAAUUGCCUA
RNAcentral lists this transfer RNA (69 nucleotides) under Pseudolabrus eoethinus. RNAcentral describes it as "tRNA-Arg". It matches the Rfam family "tRNA". Rfam says of the family: Transfer RNA (tRNA) molecules are approximately 80 nucleotides in length. Their secondary structure includes four short double-helical elements and three loops (D, anti-codon, and T loops). The record is from RNAcentral. Lineage: Eukaryota; Metazoa; Chordata; Actinopteri; Labriformes; Labridae.